UACGAAGGGGGCUAGCGUUGUUCGGAAUUACUGGGCGUAAAGCGCGUGUAGGCGGGCUUUUAAGUCAGGGGUGAAAUGCCAAGGCUCAACCUUGGAACUGCCUUUGAUACUGGAAGUCUUGAGUCCGGGAGAGGUGAGUGGAACUGCGAGUGUAGAGGUGAAAUUCGUAGAUAUUCGCAAGAACACCAGUGGCGAAGGCGGCUCACUGGCCCGGAACUGACGCUGAGAUGCGAAAGCGUGGGUAGCGAACAGG
Molecule: ribosomal RNA, 253 nt
Filed under: uncultured prokaryote
Description: partial 16S ribosomal RNA
Rfam family: Bacterial small subunit ribosomal RNA
Source: RNAcentral